GAUGAACGCUGGCGGCGUGCCUAAUACAUGCAAGUCGAGCGAAUGGAUUAAGAGCUUGCUCUUAUGAAGUUAGCGGCGGACGGGUGAGUAACACGUGGGUAACCUGCCCAUAAGACUGGGAUAACUCCGGGAAACCGGGCCUAAUACCGGAUAACAUUUUGAACCGCAUGGUUCGAACUUGAAAGGCGGCUUCGGCUGUCACUUAUGGAUGGACCCGCGUCGCAUUAGCUAGUUGGUGAGGUAACGGCUCACCAAGGCAACGAUGUGUAGCCGACCUGAGAGGGUGAUCGGCCUCACUGGGACUGAGACACGGACCAGACUCCUACGGGAGGCAGCAGUAGGGAAUCUUCCGCAAUGGACGAAAGUCUGACGGAGCAACGCCGCGUGAGUGAUGAAGGCUUUCGGGUCGUAAAACUCUGUUGUUAGGGAAGAACAAGUGCUAGUUGAAUAAGCUGACACCUUGACGGUACCUAACCAGAAAGCCACGGCUAACUACGUGCCAGCCGCCGCGGUAA
RNAcentral lists this ribosomal RNA (515 nucleotides) under uncultured bacterium. Its description in RNAcentral is "partial 16S ribosomal RNA". It matches the Rfam family "Bacterial small subunit ribosomal RNA", at positions 28 to 523 of the family's 1533-position model. The record is from RNAcentral.